GUGAAAUUGUUGAAAGGGAAACGAUUGAAGUCAGUGGUACCGAUGAGAAAUCAACUCUUCGAAUGGUUAUUUGCGGGUGUAUGAGAGCUUUAUGGUCUCAUCGUUUAUAGAUGUUUGUUCUUUAGGUGUACUUUUUCAUAUGGUAGGUUAAUGUCAGUUUCGAUUGCUAUAAAAUGAUCAGAGGAAUGUAGCUUCGAUUUCAAUUGAAGUGUUAUAGCCUUUGGUAGAUGUAGUGAUUGGGACCAAGGAUUGCAACGAAUACCCUUUGGGCUAUCUGUCUGACCUCUGAACGUUACUUAGGUGCCAAAAGCGUGCUUACAGUUACUUAAGCCAGCAGUCAAAAGGCUAGAACGUGAUUAUAUUCGUUAAGAACGUUGACGUAAUGGCUUUAAACGAC
This 397-nucleotide ribosomal RNA is filed under the name uncultured Glomeraceae. RNAcentral describes it as "eukaryotic LSU rRNA". The record is from RNAcentral. Lineage: Eukaryota; Fungi; Glomeromycota; Glomeromycetes; Glomerales; Glomeraceae.